RNAcentral lists this ribosomal RNA (1122 nucleotides) under Triticum aestivum (bread wheat). Its description in RNAcentral is "partial small subunit ribosomal RNA". Lineage: Eukaryota; Viridiplantae; Streptophyta; Magnoliopsida; Poales; Poaceae. The record is from RNAcentral.
CUCUGUAGGAUCCUGUUUGUUUAAGUACUAGAUUUUUCGAGUAACCGGCUCAAUGGAGACCUCCCAGCCUGCUGGUGGAACCUGCAGGUUCUCGAGUUCAUGGACUUGUCCAACAACUCUUUCUCAGGUGAAAUCCCUGCGGCUAAGGAAAGCCACAUCUGCUCUCUCAAAUCACUAUAUUUCGCCAAAAAUGGCUUCUCCGAUGUCUUCCCCAAGGUCCUAAAAGGAUGCAACUCACUAGCCACCGUAGACAUCAGCAACAAUAUGUUCUUUGGUGCUCUCCCUCCAUGGAUAGGGAGCUGGAUUCCAUCAUUACGAAUCCUUAGCCUCAGAUCAAACAACUUCACUGGAGAAAUUCCAGCUGAAUUAUCACGUCUUUCGCAACUUCAACUACUCGACAUGGCAAGCAAUAGCUUCACCGGAUUGAUUCCAUUAGAUUUCGGCAACCUGGCGUCCAUGAGGCAUCCAUCAAAUACGCCGACAGAUAGGAUUGUUAUAAUCUGGAAGGGCCAAGAUAGGAUCCGCAUAACCUAGAAGGGCCAAGAGCUAAUUUUCCAAAGAACACUCAGUUUACUAACGGGUAUUGAUUUGUCGGACAAUUUGCUGUCCCGGUGCAUCCCUGAAAAGCUAAACAGCCUUCAGGGCCUUCGCUUUCUAAACCUAACAAGAAACCAUCUGUCAUGCGGCAUUCCCGAAGAUAUUGGUAGUUUGAAAUUUCUUGAGAUCUUAGAUCUAUAACCUAAUGAACUUUCUAGAGCCAUUCCUUCGAGCAUCACGAGCAUAUCUGGGCUCAGCGCGUUAAAUGUCUCAAACAAUUUUCUGUCAGGCAAGAUACCGGUUGGGAGACAGAUUCAGACCCUAACAAACCCAUUGAUUUACUCCAACAACUCUGGGCUUUGUGGGCUUCCUCUGGACACUCCAUGUGCAGAUACUUCAAUUGUAUUGGAUGAGACAGAUGGUGAAGGGGAGGACCAGUGGAUGUACUAUUUUGUGAUUGAUGGGAUUGUGUUUGGUUCCUGGAUAUGGUUUGGGAUGCUCUUUACAAUUGAUACCUGGAGAUGUGCUUUUCUCUUCUUUGUCGAUGGCAUGCAAUGUAAGAUGAUGAAGAAGGUGUGACAUUAG